This 314-nucleotide unclassified non-coding RNA is filed under the name uncultured fungus. Its description in RNAcentral is "partial contains 5.8S ribosomal RNA and internal transcribed spacer 2". The stretch from base 1 to 133 matches the Rfam family "5.8S ribosomal RNA", at positions 22 to 154 of the family's 154-position model. The record is from RNAcentral. Lineage: Eukaryota; Fungi.
UGGUUCUGGCAUNGAUGAAGAACGCAGCGAAAUGCGAUAAGUAAUGUGAAUUGCAGAAUUCAGUGAAUCAUCGAAUCUUUGAACGCACAUUGCGCUCCCUGGUAUUCCGGGGAGCAUGCCUGUUCGAGCGUCAUUUAUACCAAUCUAGCGCAGCUAGGUGUUGGGCUACGCCGGGUGGCGGGCCUUGAAGCUAGUGGCGGUGCUCUCAGGCUCUACGCGUAGUAAUCCUCUCGCGAUGGAGCACUGAGCGGUGCUAGCCAGCAACCUCCCAUAUUUUCUAGGUUGACCUCGGAUCAGGUAGGGAUACCCGCUGA